GGGGCUAUGGCUUAGUGGUGGAGUUCUUGCCUUAUAUGCACAAGGCUCUGGGUUUGAGCCCCAGCAUCAUCA
Molecule: transfer RNA, 72 nt
Filed under: Cavia porcellus (domestic guinea pig)
Lineage: Eukaryota; Metazoa; Chordata; Mammalia; Rodentia; Caviidae
Rfam family: tRNA
About the family: Transfer RNA (tRNA) molecules are approximately 80 nucleotides in length.
Source: Rfam by way of RNAcentral